RNAcentral lists this ribosomal RNA (504 nucleotides) under uncultured bacterium. Its description in RNAcentral is "partial 16S ribosomal RNA". It matches the Rfam family "Bacterial small subunit ribosomal RNA", at positions 30 to 523 of the family's 1533-position model. The record is from RNAcentral.
AUUGAACGCUGGCGGCAGGCCUAACACAUGCAAGUCGAGCGGUAGCACAGAGAGCUUGCUCUCGGGUGACGAGCGGCGGACGGGUGAGUAAUGUCUGGGAAACUGCCUGAUGGAGGGGAAUAACUACUGGAAACGGUAGCUAAUACCGCAUAAUGUCGCAAGACCAAAGUGGGGGACCUUCGGGCCUCAUGCCAUCAGAUGUGCCCAGAUGGGAUUAGCUAGUAGGUGGGGUAACGGCUCACCUAGGCGACGAUCCCUAGCUGGUCUGAGAGGAUGACCAGCCACACUGGAACUGAGACACGGUCCAGACUCCUACGGGAGGCAGCAGUGGGGAAUAUUGCACAAUGGGCGCAAGCCUGAUGCAGCCAUGCCGCGUGUAUGAAGAAGGCCUUCGGGUUGUAAAGUACUUUCAGCGGGGAGGAAGGCGACAAGGUUAAUAACCUUGUCGAUUGACGUUACCCGCAGAAGAAGCACCGGCUAACUCCGUGCCAGCCGCCGCGGUAA